Long non-coding RNA from Nanorana parkeri, 108 nucleotides. RefSeq lists it as uncharacterized. The record is from RefSeq and is a predicted model, not a curated record. Lineage: Eukaryota; Metazoa; Chordata; Amphibia; Anura; Dicroglossidae. The transcript has 4 exons.
AGGAGUCUUUGAAAAGUUUGGAGAAGUUAAACCAACAAAUGAAAUCACAAGCUCUUGAGCUGUUUGAGUUUCUGUUUUAAUUGUUCUCUUUUGAGUUUUAACUGUUCU